CCCAGUAGCGGCGAGCGAACGGGGAGGAGCCCAGAGCCUGAAUCAGUGUGUGUGUUAGUGGAAGCGUCUGGAAAGGCGCGCGAUACAGGGUGACAGCCCCGUACACAAAAAUGCACAUGCUGUGAGCUCGAUGAGUAGGGCGGGACACGUGGUAUCCUGUCUGAAUAUGGGGGGACCAUCCUCCAAGGCUAAAUACUCCUGACUGACCGAUAGUGAACCAGUACCGUGAGGGAAAGGCGAAAAGAACCCCGGCGAGGGGAGUGAAAAAGAACCUGAAACCGUGUACGUACAAGCAGUGGGAGCACGCUUAGGCGUGUGACUGCGUACCUUUUGUAUAAUGGGUCAGCGACUUAUAUUCUGUAGCAAGGUUAACCGAAUAGGGGAGCCGAAGGGAAACCGAGUCUUAACUGGGCGUUAAGUUGCAGGGUAUAGACCCGAAACCCGGUGAUCUAGCCAUGGGCAGGUUGAAGGUUGGGUAACACUAACUGGAGGACCGAACCGACUAAUGUUGAAAAAUUAGCGGAUGACUUGUGGCUGGGGGUGAAAGGCCAAUCAAACCGGGAGAUAGCUGGUUCUCCCCGAAAGCUAUUUAGGUAGCGCCUCGUGAAUUCAUCUCCGGGGGUAGAGCACUGUUUCGGCAAGGGGGUCAUCCCGACUUACCAACCCGAUGCAAACUGCGAAUACCGGAGAAUGUUAUCACGGGAGACACACGGCGGGUGCUAACGUCCGUCGUGAAGAGGGAAACAACCCAGACCGCCAGCUAAGGUCCCAAAGUCAUGGUUAAGUGGGAAACGAUGUGGGAAGGCCCAGACAGCCAGGAUGUUGGCUUAGAAGCAGCCAUCAUUUAAAGAAAGCGUAAUAGCUCACUGGUCGAGUCGGCCUGCGCGGAAGAUGUAACGGGGCUAAACCAUGCACCGAAGCUGCGGCAGCGACGCUUAUGCGUUGUUGGGUAGGGGAGCGUUCUGUAAGCCUGCGAAGGUGUGCUGUGAGGCAUGCUGGAGGUAUCAGAAGUGCGAAUGCUGACAUAAGUAACGAUAAAGCGGGUGAAAAGCCCGCUCGCCGGAAGACCAAGGGUUCCUGUCCAACGUUAAUCGGGGCAGGGUGAGUCGACCCCUAAGGCGAGGCCGAAAGGCGUAGUCGAUGGGAAACAGGUUAAUAUUCCUGUACUUGGUGUUACUGCGAAGGGGGGACGGAGAAGGCUAUGUUGGCCGGGCGACGGUUGUCCCGGUUUAAGCGGGUAGGCUGGUUUUCCAGGCAAAUCCGGAAAA
Molecule: ribosomal RNA, 1268 nt
Filed under: Escherichia coli
Lineage: Bacteria; Pseudomonadati; Pseudomonadota; Gammaproteobacteria; Enterobacterales; Enterobacteriaceae
Description: partial 23S ribosomal RNA
Rfam family: Bacterial large subunit ribosomal RNA
Source: RNAcentral